CAAUAGCGUAUAUUAAAGCUGUUGCGGUUAAAAAGCUCGUAGUUGGAUUUCUGUCAAGGACAACUGGUCCGCCCUCCGGGUGAGCACAUAGUUUGGUCUUGGCAUCUUGCUGGAAACUGUUGCUGCGCUUGGCUGUGUGGUGCAGCUUUCAGCACUUUCACUUUGAGGAAAUUGGAGUGUUUCAAGCAGGCACAUGCCUUUGGACACAGUAGCAUGGAAUAAUUAGAUUGGGCUUUUGCUCCAACUUGUUGGUUCCUGGAGCUGAGGUGAGAAUCAAUGGGGAUUGUUGGGGGCAUCCGAAUUUAGCCGUCAGAGGUGAAAUUCUUGGAUCUGCUAAAGACGGACAACUGCGAAAGCGUUUGCCCAGGAUGUUUUCAUUGA
Molecule: ribosomal RNA, 381 nt
Filed under: uncultured eukaryote
Lineage: Eukaryota
Description: partial 18S ribosomal RNA
Rfam family: Eukaryotic small subunit ribosomal RNA
Source: RNAcentral